GAUGAACGCUGGCGGCGUGCCUAACACAUGCAAGUCGAGCGAACAGACGAGGAGCUUGCUCCUCUGACGUUAGCGGCGGACGGGUGAGUAACACGUGGAUAACCUACCUAUAAGACUGGGAUAACUUCGGGAAACCGGAGCUACUACCGGAUAAUAUAUUGAACCGCAUGGUUCAAUAGUGAAAGACGCUUUUGCUUUCACUUAUAGAUGGAUCCGCGCCGCAUUAGCUAGUUGGUAAGGUAACGGCUUACCAAGGCAACGAUGCGUAGCCGACCUGAGAGGGUGAUCGGCCACACUGGAACUGAGACACGGUCCAGACUCCUACGGGAGGCAGCAGUAGGGAAUCUUCCGCAAUGGGCGAAAGCCUGACGGAGCAACACCGCGUGAGUGAUGAAGGUCUUCGGAUCGUAAAACUCUGUUAUUAGGGAAGAACAAAUGUGUAAGUAACUAUGCACGUCUUGACGGUACCUAAUCAGAAAGCCACGGCUAACUACGUG
This 497-nucleotide ribosomal RNA is filed under the name uncultured bacterium. RNAcentral describes it as "partial 16S ribosomal RNA". It matches the Rfam family "Bacterial small subunit ribosomal RNA", at positions 28 to 507 of the family's 1533-position model. The record is from RNAcentral.